Molecule: unclassified non-coding RNA, 1263 nt
Filed under: Hevea brasiliensis (rubber tree)
Lineage: Eukaryota; Viridiplantae; Streptophyta; Magnoliopsida; Malpighiales; Euphorbiaceae
Source: RNAcentral
CUCAUUGAGCUUUACGAUAAUCUCCUCCUACUGCAAUUUUGUUCAACAUACUGAGAGAGAGUUUGUUAGCAGUGACCCAUGGGAGAGUCUUUUUCUAUUAGCUAAUAAUUCAAUGAGCAAGGAUAAAAUUAGGCGUAAGUUAUGAUUUUCUACUUACGUUUUACAAAAUUCCUGGGGUGAUUGAUUAUGAUAUUAUCAACAGGAUAUGCAGAACUCAUCAAUCACCUAGGAAGCCUAGAAACCUAUUUAUAAGCUUCGCAACAGGAGUUGCAUCACCUGCAGGAUAUGGGAGAAGAGACUCCAAAUCCAUAUCUGCUAUCAUAUGACGGAGCGUUUGAGGACGAGCACAAUAUAAAUGUUUCCUCUCUGCUAGUUUUUCUGCAAGCUCACUUUGAUGAUUGUCCAUCAGAUCUUCAUUCACCACUACAAUUAGAGGUUUGCCAAGCUGCAAAGUCUCAAACAUACUCCCUGACCCAGCAUGGCUGAUGACAAGAGAUGCUGAUCUUAGAUGAUCUGCUAUACUUGAUGAAAAAGUGAAAUAAUCAACAGCCACAGAUCCAUCUUCUCCUUCAGACUUGGUGGGAGUGUAGAAUCCCCGACCCAUUUGAAUGAGAAGGUGGGAGUAGCCUCUUCUAUAUAAUUCCUGCUUAACUUCCUUUUUAUCCAUUGCCCUUACAAGAGCAUCACACAAUGUAGUUCCCACUGUUACAAACACCAUUCUCCUAUUCUCACUAUCUUCAAUUUCUCCCAUUUUCUUGAGAUUUAUAUCCAUCAAAAGCAAAAGAAUUAAACAAGUGCAAACUAGGAUCUUGGUCAAAUGCUGCAGUAGAGUCUUACUUCAGCUGGAUCGAAGGUUAAAUGCUCAUCUCAAGAGACAAUCAGAAGUAAAGAAAUCAAAAUGGAAAAAAUGCAAUACAACUUCGAACCGCAGAGCUUAAACUAUUGUCGCCGUUGGAAAUUGAGGAAACCAGACACGCGAUGCGAGAGGUAGUUGUCGUCCAAGCUGGGGAUGCAAGAGGGGAGGGAUUGGGGAGGAAAGAAUUGAGAAUUUCCCAAUUCUGACCGAAGACAUCAUUUCAAUUUGGCCGAUUGGACUAAACAAAAAUCAGGAUUAUAUCUAACAACCUCUUGAUUUUUUUUUUUUCAAUUUUGCGUCAAAUAUCAAAAAUUUCCAAAUUUCUUGAAUUGAAUUUAAUGAUAAAUUCUUGAUAAAAAAAUUUAAUGAUAAAUUAUAGUAACAUAGAUCUAGCAGAAUAAUAAAAG